CGGUGGCGUCACUGGUGCUGG
RNAcentral lists this unclassified non-coding RNA (21 nucleotides) under Chlamydomonas reinhardtii. Its description in RNAcentral is "small RNA Cre_1360". Lineage: Eukaryota; Viridiplantae; Chlorophyta; Chlorophyceae; Chlamydomonadales; Chlamydomonadaceae. The record is from RNAcentral.